RNAcentral lists this vault RNA (108 nucleotides) under Myripristis murdjan (pinecone soldierfish). RNAcentral's name for it is "Vault RNA (ENSMMDG00005002619.1)". It matches the Rfam family "Vault RNA". Rfam says of the family: This family of RNAs are found as part of the enigmatic vault ribonucleoprotein complex. The complex consists of a major vault protein (MVP), two minor vault proteins (VPARP and TEP1), and several small untranslated RNA molecules. The record is from Rfam by way of RNAcentral. Lineage: Eukaryota; Metazoa; Chordata; Actinopteri; Holocentriformes; Holocentridae.
GCACCAGUUUAACUCAGUGGCUACUUCUCCUCACAGAUCAUUGCUAAUGCUUCUCCUGUCUGAACACGGCGAGGAGGUUCAAAUCCACGGGCACUGUCUGGUGUUUUU